UACGUAGGGGGCAAGCGUUAUCCGGAUUUACUGGGUGUAAAGGGAGCGUAGACGGCAGUGCAAGUCUGAAGUGAAAGCCCCGGGCUUAACCCGGGAACUGCUUUGGAAGCUGUACGGCUGGAGUGCUGGAGAGGUAAGCGGAAUUCCUAGUGUAGCGGUGAAAUGCGUAGAUAUUAGGAGGAACACCAGUGGCGAAGGCGGCUUACUGGACAGUAACUGACGUUGAGGCUCGAAAGCGUGGGGAGCAAACAGG
RNAcentral lists this ribosomal RNA (253 nucleotides) under uncultured bacterium. RNAcentral's name for it is "partial 16S ribosomal RNA". It matches the Rfam family "Bacterial small subunit ribosomal RNA", at positions 524 to 776 of the family's 1533-position model. The record is from RNAcentral.